AAGCCCCGCAAGGGGUGAGUAAAGUGGCGUACGGGUGAGUAACACGUGGGUAAUCUGCUCUUUGGUGGGGAAUAACCCUGGGAAACCGGGGCUAAUACCGCAUAAGCUCGCAAGAGGAAAGGUGCAAAUCGCCGAAGAAGGAGCCCGCGGCUGAUUAGCUAGUUGGUGAGGUAAUGGCUCACCAAGGCGAAGAUCGGUAGCCGGCCUGAGAGGGCACACGGCCACACUGGCACUGAAACACGGGCCAGACUCCUACGGGAGGCAGCAGUGGGGAAUCUUGCACAAUGGGGGCAACCCUGAUGCAGCGACGCCGCGUGAGCGAUGAAGCCCUUCGGG
This 336-nucleotide ribosomal RNA is filed under the name uncultured bacterium. Its description in RNAcentral is "bacterial SSU rRNA". It matches the Rfam family "Bacterial small subunit ribosomal RNA", at positions 72 to 422 of the family's 1533-position model. The record is from RNAcentral.